This 466-nucleotide ribosomal RNA is filed under the name uncultured bacterium. RNAcentral's name for it is "partial 16S ribosomal RNA". It matches the Rfam family "Bacterial small subunit ribosomal RNA", at positions 28 to 507 of the family's 1533-position model. The record is from RNAcentral.
GAUGAACGCUGGCGGCGUGCUUAACACAUGCAAGUCGAACGGAAAGGCUCCUGCUUUCAGGGGUACUCGAGUGGCGAACGGGUGAGUAACACGUGGGUGAUCUGCCCUUCACUUCGGGAUAAGCCUGGGAAACUGGGUCUAAUACCGGAUAGGACGAUGUGUUGGAUGCCAUUGUGUAGAGUUUUUCGGUGUGGGGGGAGCUCGUGGCCUAUUAGCUUGUUGGGGGGGUAAUGGGCUACCAAGGCGUCUGCGGGGAGGCGGCCAGGGAGGGUGGACGGCCACAUUGGGGCUGAGGUAAGGCCCCAGCUCCUAAGGGGGGGAACAGUGGGGAAGAAUGCAACAUGGGCGCAAGGCUGGUGCAGGGAAGCCGCGGGGCGGAAGACGGCCUUCGGGGUGGAAACCCCUUUCGCUAGGGACGAAGCGUUUUGUGACGGUACCUGGUGAAGAAGCACCGGCUAACUACGUG